Onychostoma macrolepis is the source of this 995-nucleotide long non-coding RNA. RefSeq lists it as uncharacterized. The transcript has 3 exons. The record is from RefSeq and is a predicted model, not a curated record. NCBI's taxonomy places the organism in Eukaryota, Metazoa, Chordata, Actinopteri, Cypriniformes, Cyprinidae.
CCACGCACCGACACGAUCGAUGUGAAGACGCAGGCCACAAAUCCCGGAGCCCAUCUGACACCAGCCACUUAAAAACUAAUUACAACCACUGAUUUACCUUAUGAAGCCAUCAGGGUUUGCGAUGCUCAUGUAAAUUCACUGCACGUCUCUGGAGAUCCGAUUGCAUCGUUUCUAGUGUUUGCUCUACAAAUUCAAUCUGUGGCAUUUUAAUGACUAAUUGCCUUGAAAAACAUAUGCAAAUAACACAAUGGUGUAAUCACUUCUUCAUUUAUUUUUUUUGCAUCCAGCAGGUCCCGAAUGUCACGCUGGUGUAACGAGGGAUUGCAUCUCGUUUCACCGGCUGGUAAACAGUUUUCUCUGUUCAUUACAGGUCUGUAAUUGUAAACAGCAUAAUAUUGUUUUUUAUUCCAGAAUGGACCAGAGUUUGGGGCAACCAAUGCCAAACAAUUAAAAUGCACAAAUUUCCCGCCGUGUGAAACCACCCACUUGGCAACAUGCGAGGGCAACAGCUGGUCAGACAUCUCACGCUGCUUAAUUACUGCUGACAUUCCCGCGGCUCUUAAUAAAGCAAAACCAGCCUGGAUCAGCAUAUUAAUUCAGCGCUCACACAUGGCCGACUGAUUUCCCAGCAUGCUCCUGAGAGAGAGUGAUUUGCAUCAGCGGUGAUGGACAUGAGAUCACUUCCUUCCACCUGUAAGAACAGAGAAGAUCAUAAUCGCAGUCCAUUUCCUCCUGGAAUUACACAAGCUUCAGUCUGGAUCCAGCCCUUUCAAAGACCUGAGAUGACCGAACACCUGGGAAGAGAUGAUGCCAACCCUCAGACAGCAUACAAAACUACCAAAUUUUGCUAUAAGUUUGAUGUCAACAUAUAAUCAUUGCUGUUAAAAGUGUUCACCGUCUGUUUGAUUACAUGACAUUAACUAACUGCUUGAUUUUUACUGUAAAUUUCUGCCAUAUGGACAUCAACUUGAGAUAGUCACCACUGAUAAGCUAUU